This 301-nucleotide ribosomal RNA is filed under the name uncultured bacterium. RNAcentral's name for it is "partial 16S ribosomal RNA". It matches the Rfam family "Bacterial small subunit ribosomal RNA", at positions 509 to 807 of the family's 1533-position model. The record is from RNAcentral.
CAGCAGCCGCGGGAAUACGUAGGGUGCGAGCGUUAAUCGGAAUUACUGGGCGUAAAGCGUGCGCAGGCGGUUUUGUAAGACAGGCGUGAAAUCCCCGGGCUCAACCUGGGAAUGGCGCUUGUGACUGCAAAGCUAGAGUGCGGCAGAGGGGGAUGGAAGUCCGCGUGUAGCAGUGAAAUGCGUAGAUAUGCGGAGGAACACCGAUGGCGAAGGCAAUCCCCUGGGCCUGCACUGACGCUCAUGCACGAAAGCGUGGGGAGCAAAUGGGAUUAGAUACCCCGGUAGUCCCUGUCUCUUAUAC